GACAUGACAAUCUUCUGCAUGCUCUGGUGGUGGAAAGCUCCGGCGGACUGGGAUGGACUCCCGGCCUAUCCGCUUGUUGGUGAGGUAAUGGCUAACCAAGGCGACAACAGGGAGCCGGCCUGAAAGGGUGACCGGACAGUGUGGGACUGAAACGGGGCCCAGACUCCUACCGGAGGCCCCAGGGGGGAAUAUUGGAGAAUGGUCGAAAGCCUGAUCAAACACCGCCGCGGGAGGGAUGACGGCCUUCGGGUUGUAAUCCUCUUUCAACAGGGACUAAUCAAGAAUGACGGUACCUGCAAAAAAAGGACCGUCCAACUACGUGCCAUCACCCGCAGUAAUACGUAGGGUCCGAGCGUUGUCCGGAAUUAUUGGGCGUAAAGGGCUCGUAGGCCGUUUGUCU
RNAcentral lists this ribosomal RNA (400 nucleotides) under Aeromicrobium sp. RNAcentral describes it as "bacterial SSU rRNA". It matches the Rfam family "Bacterial small subunit ribosomal RNA", at positions 170 to 585 of the family's 1533-position model. The record is from RNAcentral. Lineage: Bacteria; Bacillati; Actinomycetota; Actinomycetes; Propionibacteriales; Nocardioidaceae.